CCGGCCGCAUGGAAGUGAUGUUGCCCGUCUCAGUCAACGAGACAGAGCCGGUUCCCUCCACCUCGGCCGGUCUUCGUGGAACCGAGGAGUCGGGAAGCAGAAGCUGCUCUCUCCUGUGAACGUCUGAGUCUCUCCGGUGGCACCGCCUUCCACCUGUUCCUCCCUUGGCUCAUCAUCCUCACCAGCAUCAUCCAGAGGCUCAAGAGUGUUGUACACAGAGCCAUGUUAUGGAGGACGGCAGAGGC
Molecule: long non-coding RNA, 245 nt
Organism: Ornithodoros turicata
Lineage: Eukaryota; Metazoa; Arthropoda; Arachnida; Ixodida; Argasidae
Exons: 4
Source: RefSeq, a predicted model, not a curated record